CGACAAAGUGAGACUCUGUCUAAAACAAAAAUAAAAAAAUAAAGGCUGAAAAUUUUACCAGCCAAAAUUAAAUUUUAACCAGUUAGCAGUUUCCUGGUACUUUGCCCAUAACAAUUUGAAAAGUUGUGGUUGAGCACUGCAUGCUAGUGGCAUGUCACAAAACUCCGUGCUGCCACCAUAGAUGAACUCAGAGGAACUUCUCCUUAACCAAGUUGCCAUUUUCUCCUCCUGAGUCCUCGAAAGAGCAAGACGACUCCAUGCUUUGCUCCUUCCUAGUCUAGUAGUGACUCAGGAACACAGCUUAUAGACUUUAGCCCCAGCUCCCCACAGAAGGGUUUGGAGGCUGAGUAUAGGAAGGGCCAGGAUCCACGCUGGGAAACUGCUUGGUCCAUGAUGGUGACCCUCAAGGCAAUAAACAGGACUGAGUCCUGCAGAGGAGCUGGCCUGACUGCAGAGGACAAAAGCAGGGGUGUGAGUAGGUAAAGUGGAGGUCACAGCACAAGGCUUCUUUAUCCAACCAAGGACAUAAAAAGUUGCAGCAAUUUCACAUCCAGGAAUCUAAUUCCAGUAUCGCGAUAUAGGAGAAACCAAAGUGUUGUCUCCCACUCUCACACAGCCAGCACACUUUUAACACCAGAUGUGUGGGGGAUGUUUCCCCAUACACCAAGCAAUUCUGCAACGGAUGCCAGUUGGGUGUCCUGUAAUUCAAUUCAGUUCUGGCACUAUGUACCUGGAAAUAGCAGGGGCUCAGGGUUUGAUCCUAUGAGACCGCCCCCCGUUUCAGAUGCCCAUCCCAGGUAGUAGGUUGUCUCCUGUACCUCUGACUGCCCAGCUAUAAACUGGAAUUCCCCCGACCCACUCCUUGUUUGGAUUAAUUUGCUAGAGUGGAUCACAGACUCAGUGAAACACUUUACUUCUGUUUGCCCAUUUAUGGCCAAGGAUAUUACAAAGCAUGUAGAUGAACAGUGAGAUGGAAGAGAUGCACAGGGCAAGAAAUGUGGGAAGGGCUGUGGUGCUUCCAUAUCCUCUCUGGGCACGCCACCCUCUAGGAACCUGAUGUUCUGCUCUCCAGAACUCAACAAACCCUGUCCUCUGGGCUUUUAUACAGGCUUCAUGGCAUAUGUCUGAUUGAUUACAUCACUGGUCAUUGGUGUUCAACUUAACCUUCAGUUCCUCUCCUCUCUGUGGAGGUUUGGGGGGAGGUGGUGGGACUAAAAGUCCCAACCUUCUAAUCCUGCCUUGAUCUUUCUGGUGAGCAGCCCCCAUCCUGAAGCUAUUUAGGGGCUCCAAGUCACCAACCAUCUUAUUAGCAUACAAAAGGUAUUUUCAUCACUCUGGAAAUUCCAAGGAAUUUAAGAGCUUUAGGUCAGGAAACAGGGACUACAAUCAAAUAUAUAUUUCACAAUAGCACACACAGAUGUACCUGCACAAGUACAUACUGAUCUAUGUACAGGAAUAUUCACUGAAGCAUUGUUGGCAACCACACAAAAAAAACUGGAAAUAAUCAUCCAUGGUUAUAUCAGUUCAAUAUAUUACUGUAUAAUCAUACUAUGAGAUGUAACGCAACUACAAGAAAGAUCAUAUAUAAGUGAUAUGAUAAUGUUGAUACAUUAAAUUAGAAGAGUAUGUGGCAGAACAAUUUGCAUACUACUAUUCCAUUUUUUUAUAAGGGAAUGUACAAAUAGUCUUGUAUGUGUAUAGAAAGCACUGGAAGGGCAACCUAGGAACCGUGGGAACUUUUGGGGGAGGGUGGCAAGGAAAGAGAGACCUUUACUUUUCAUUCUCUAUCCGAUUUCUGUUUGACUAUUUGCUGUGUGUAUGCAGUCUAUUCAUAAUUAAAACAAACUAAUUUAAAAUGACGGAAAAGUGAACCAUAGCAGGAAAAAGUAGUCAAGGGUAAAGAAAAUUUUUCCCCAAAAGCUCAGUUAAGAACACUUCUUAACUGUACUCAGUGAAUGUGAAGACCCAAAGAGAAAACAGUCUCUGUAUCUUUUCCUUAAUGUCGCUCAGAGCUAGGUCUCUACUUACUGGUGAGGACCCAGGUCGGUCUCCUGCCCUGGCAUUUGGACGUGAUCUGAGAGGAGUAAGUCAGGUAAAGGAACCUCUGGACCACAGACAACAGCCAGGCUCAGCAGGGAUCACUGAGGUAGGAAUCCCCCCACCCAACCCACUAAAAAAGAGCCAGCAGUUAUUAAAAUCAUGGGACUAGAGCGGGGCAGACUGGGUUUAUGGGCCUGUUACUACGGUGGUGAUGCUAACGGUUAAAAGGCCAUGGAAGCUUGUUUCAAAUUAAUUGGCCUGCAGAGUAGGAAAAAAAAAAAUGACCCUACUAAUGAUCCUAGGUAAUUCUGUCUUCUAGGUUACAGCAAGCAGCCCCCAGAACGACCUUUAUUGAAGCCUGAGUGACAAGAAGCCUGUAGCGGGGUGAGGGGGACCUGCUUGGAGAAAGGCCCCAAAAGAGAGGAGCUCUCCCUAACUCUCCAAUGACAUGGGAAAAUUUUACUCAUACAAAAUUCCCUGGAAAUCCAGCCACCCACCCGCUGCAAGAGAAGGCCUAGAGAUGCAGCGGCCAGAGCCAGCCUCAGGCCACAGCUCUUCUUCCCCAUGCUGGGGGUGCUGCUGCUUGCCUUCACCCCGACCCUGUAUCCCCACUUUCCACUGCCCCGGAUCGCCCAGGCUGAAUGUCUCCUCUUCUCCUCCACUAUUCUGAGCUUCGAAGAGCUAACUCCAAUGUGUUCAGCAUAUGGAAAAGUGAGGAACUGAACCCCUUCCACCCCUGCCUCCCUAGGCAACCUGAAGAGCUCUUGGGCCCUAAUACCAGUGUCUGGGAGGCGCGUAAACGCUUCCAUUUUUAUCCUUCCACUGCAGAAAAUGCCCGGUUUAUUCUGGGAGACACUCAGACCCCUCGGGACAAGGGUAGCUAGAGAGAGGUCCAAGCUGCCCUGGGUGGGUGGGGAGUCAAGGCAGGCCAAAGCUUCAGAUUUAGACAGUAACCACCAAAUCCGACCUGCACUGCAGGUCCAAGGCCUUUUCCUCUUUCCUGCAUGCUCCGCUCUGCCGCUGGCCCAUCUUCCAAUGUAACCCCUACAACCACCAAGGCAAAAAGAGCUGUCCCAACUCCAUCCUCACGGCGCCAUCUCCAACCCUCUGAGGAUCCCGCUUCAUGUCUCCUCUAUUUUACAAAGCAGCCCUCCUUGCAGCCCUCACGAAAAGUUCUGCAGUGAGGUCCCCCAGAGCGGGGCCCUUCCCCAGACCCUUAAAGAGAAAGUUCGUUUGGUGGGCCAUACCCGGGCAGCGCGGGCCCUGCCCUGGCCUGGUUCUACUUGUGUUCUGAAGUCCCUGACCACCGCCUUGAGUCCAGCCCUCGUCCAGGGGGCGGCGGUGCAGGGGAGACCGCGCGGCCUGGCCUGAAGUGCGGCCGCUCCCAUCCCUUCCCCGGGCCUGGGGUGGGUCCCCCGCCGACAAACUCAGGAGGGGCCGCGCCCCUGUCCCCUACGCGCUCACAAACGCCUUGGUCGCCCGAACCUUCGGCCCCGCAGCGUUCGGCUGCAGGACCGCGACACUGCAGGGCCCCAGAUCUGCGCGCUGCGCUCCGGCCCGUCGGCGCGGGAGGACGCGCGGCCGCGCCUGCCUCGGUGGCCGCGCGGGGUGGGAGCAUUUCAGAGCGCCCAAGCCAUGGUGGCCAAACAGCGGAUCCGGAUGGCUAACGAGAAGCACAGCAAAAACAUCACCCAGAGGGGGAACGUAGCCAAAACCCUGAGGCCGCAAGAGGAGAAAUAUCCUGUGGGACCAUGGCUGUUGGCACUGUUUGUGUUUGUUGUCUGUGGCUCAGGUCAACCACAUAAAUUGGCCUUUCCUGGAGACUGCCAGAACUUUCUCAAAACUGUAACAUCCAGAGGAAGUCACCUCCACCCAGGACCGGCAAGUGGGAUGUGAACGGGCCGGCCCUGGACAAAAGACUGAGGCCAUUCAUCUGCUCUGGAGUUCAUCCUCGGGAUCUGAGAGGCACAGCCUGGUGAAGACAUCUCAUCAGCCAUCGGCUCCCUUAAGCUAUCUUUCAGAUCAUUCAGAGCAUAAGGAUGGGCAUGUGAGAAGGCCAGGGAUCUGACACCACCUCCCUCCCACUGGAGAGCGGAGGACCACGGAAGCGGUCAGCCAGUUUCUGCGGGAAGCAAGCAGGCCACACGGAAUAGAAAAAAUCGCUCCCCCACUUGUUCCCUGAUCACUUCAUCGUGGAUGUCAGACCAAAUUGCCUUCUCACAGGACAUCUUGGUGCAUCCGUGUUCUCAAGCGGAAAGGACAUUUUGCUUUUCUGUUGGCAGGAUUAGUGGCCACGCGGGUCGUCCGCAGCAGUGCUGUCUUUUUGGCUUUUCCCUUGGUUUCACUAAUGCGUGCAUGUGGCCCUCUGAACGAUCACUGGUUUACUUUCUAUGGAUACAAUCUCUCCCCCAUUGAGAAUUGGUUUUACAAAUAAAUGCCUUCGUUCAGCCUUA
Molecule: non-coding RNA, 4493 nt
Organism: Chlorocebus sabaeus (green monkey)
Lineage: Eukaryota; Metazoa; Chordata; Mammalia; Primates; Cercopithecidae
Source: RefSeq, a predicted model, not a curated record